AUACGGAGGAUCCGAGCGUUAUCCGGAUUUAUUGGGUUUAAAGGGUGCGCAGGCGGCCAUUUAAGUCAGCGGUUAAAUCGUGGGGCUCAACCCCAUUCUGCCGUUGAUACUGGGUGGCUUGAUUGCGGUCGAGGUUGGCGGAAUUCGUUGUGUAGCGGUGAAAUGCAUAGAUAUGACGAAGAACACCGAUUGCGUAGGCAGCUGACCAGACCGCAAAUGACGCUCAUGCACGAAAGUGCGGGGAUCGAACAGGAUUAGAUACCCUGGUAGUCCACGCCGUAAACGAUGGGCGCUCGUCGUCGGCGACAGACAGUCGGCGGCCAAGCGAAAGCGAUAAGCGCCCCACCUGGGGAGUACGGUCGCAAGGUUGAAACUCAAAGGAAUUGACGGG
This 391-nucleotide ribosomal RNA is filed under the name uncultured bacterium. RNAcentral's name for it is "partial 16S ribosomal RNA". It matches the Rfam family "Bacterial small subunit ribosomal RNA", at positions 523 to 917 of the family's 1533-position model. The record is from RNAcentral.